CAACCAAGAUGAGUCAUGAUAUCCCAAAACCAGUGUCGUGUUUUUAAUCCCACAGUGGGACGUGGAGCUUUGAGGAGGCAAUGCAGCUUUUUUUUUUUUUUUUUUUUUUUGUGUGUGGUUGAAGCACAUCAACACCCCUACUGUCACUAGCCUUCUUCUUCUCUCACACAAAGCCUCUUAUAUCUCUGGUGUCCUUCAACUUUGCAGGCAUAUUUUUGUCUAUUAUAGUGGUUGUUGUUGUGUGUGCAGUUCAAUGCAAUUGUUAAAAGGUGUGUGUGGUUGUUUUCUGCAGUGGUUUCACGACAGAAGAGAGGAUGGGUUAUUUUUGUGCUGGAUGUUUUUUAAGGCUGGUUCCUCCUCAUCUCUGCUUCUACAUAGUGUGUGUGAACUGCAGUCUGAUGCAGCAGCAGCAGCAGCAACUCAGGAUAAUGAACCCAGAGCUACAAAGAGAAACUACAGUUGUGCAAGAGGGAGAAGGAGUGAUGUUUUAUUCAUGCACACAUAUGAGAAACAUGGAAAGCCCACACUUAAAUGGAUGAUGUCAGACUCUCCAUGUUCCUCCCCUCCCUGUGGGUGUUUCCCCAUUCAAGCUGGGGGAGAUCCUGGGUUUUCCUGCAGGUUUUUUUUUUCCCAAAAUCACACUCUAUAGCAAUACAUGCACAAUAAUGCUCACAAAUAAACUGGAAGUGCUUACAAAACUGUCACUACAGUGCAAUAGUUUCAUAUCUUGUUCCUGUGCCCCUGUGACCCGCUCCCUCUUGCUGAAACUCUUGAGGCUUUACGGCAGCGGCUGCUUGAGGGAGGAGGAGGAGGAGGAAGGAGGGAGGGAGGUGAGGCACAGGAUGGACUUGAAUACGAAAGAAUGAGGAAGUCAAUGCAGCUCAGGGCAGAGCGUCCCCUUCACUGUAGCUAGGAGUACUGCUGCGAACCCUUGCCUGCGGCGUGGCUCCGGUACUUUCUUUGUCCAGCCGUGCAGCAAAGCUCACGCAACCACACAAAUGUCCUUGAGAGAAGAGGUCGACUGUUGGGUUCACUAUGAUGUGGAUAGUUUGAGUCCUGCACAUCCCCUCUGCUUACCUGGACAGUGAUUGCCUGCAGCCUCCCCACUUUCUCCUUCUCUACCCCCACCAUCUCCCUGGGGCUGUCUGCCUUUCUCCUACUAGUGAGGGAGAUGCAGAGAGGAGGGCGAAUGAGCAAGGCGGGAAGAAGAACUGAGAGAGAGAGAGAGAGAGAUAAGGGAAUGGGCAGAGAUCAGCUAGAUCAGAAUGUGAAUCACUUAAAUUGCACAAUAAAUGUUGGUCAUUUUGGUGCAGAGUCAUUGAAAAGUUGCAGCUUUGCCAGAGACUACAGGACUCCAAAGAGAAAGCAUAAGACAACAGAGUCAUGUCAUUCUCUCUGCGUGCUCAUGCAAUAUUAAAUAGCUGUGUGCAUUUGAAUGCACAUGAAGACAAGAGGAUAUGAUGUAGAUAGAAAUUGGCCAUCACGCAUCUCUUUUUCUCUUCCAUUUACCAUCUGCUGUGCUGGUUAACUCACACAACUGGGAACAAAUAGCAUUCCCAUUACUUUGCGCACAAUUAUCUCUCAGCAGCUUACACACAGACACACACACACACACACACACACACACACACACACACACACACACACACAAACACAAGCCAUGUUCUGACACCUGCCUGACCCCUCGGUCAUGUUAUUGCUAUAACUGAGACGCUUGUUAAAGCCCUGUGGAGGAUCCAGUGGUUAUUAUUUCCCCUGAAAAGCAGUUUACUGGCCUUUCACCAUGUACAAGACGGCUUAAGGUGUAAGGGGACAAGGAAAACGUUAAAUAGGCUAGUGGUCAAGGCAUUCACGGAGAAUUGCUUUUAUACAAAAUUCUCCAUCUGGAUUCACUGAGCUUUUAUUGUGGUGUGUUGAAUUAAUUCAAGGUAUUAUUUUUACACUUUUGUAUCGUCUGGCCAUUUGUAAAGCAGGUAUCAGUUGCCAGAAGGCCACCGUAGUUCUCCGACAUGCUUGUGAAAUUGCUGUAAUUAGGAGAAACCUACUGAUGCAAAUAGAUGAAUUGUAAUCAAAUAAACCCCCUUAAUGUAUAUUUUGGAUGUUUUCUUUCCACCAGUCUGAAAGAAGACAUGUUAUGGAAGCAUAACAGCAUGAAAAACAAUGUUUUUGCCUCUAGUGGCUUCACUUGAGUUGGUCCUUUUUAUUUGUUGGAAUUUCACCCUGCGGUUACGGGAUCAGUGGAGUUGUACAUUAUCAACUGUUUCCAUGCGGGGAAUUAUUUUCAAAAUGAAAUUGUUGAAGCUAAUCGGCUCUUGGGUAGACGGCUCUGAAAACACAAGGCCUGACGCCGCCUUUACAGAGAACACCCACAGGCCUAUUCGACUGCACAAUCUUCCACGGAGAAGCCCACUUAAAUUAGCAUCUGUGACAUCUAAGAUUAACCAUUAGCCAAACAGAGCUGUAAGAUAUGUUGCAUCAGGAGACAUCUGAGUCUUC
This is a long non-coding RNA of Sebastes umbrosus (honeycomb rockfish), 2496 nucleotides long. RefSeq lists it as uncharacterized. The transcript is spliced from 3 exons. Lineage: Eukaryota; Metazoa; Chordata; Actinopteri; Perciformes; Sebastidae. The record is from RefSeq and is a predicted model, not a curated record.